UAGUUGGUGUUAAUAUUCAAAAAUUAACCAG
This 31-nucleotide non-coding RNA is filed under the name Mus musculus (house mouse). The record is from RNAcentral. Lineage: Eukaryota; Metazoa; Chordata; Mammalia; Rodentia; Muridae.